CCUACGGGGGGCUGCAGUGGGGAAUAUUGGGCAAUGGGCGCAAGCCUGACCCAGCAACGCCGCGUGAAGGAAGAAGGCUUUCGGGUUGUAAACUUCUUUUCUCAGGGACGAAAAAAGUGACGCUACCUGAGGAAUAAGCCACUGCUAACUACGUACCAGCAGCCGCGGUAAUACGUAGGUGGCAAGCGUUAUCCGGAUUUACUGGGUGUAAAGGGCGUGUAGGCGGGGGAGCAAGUCAGAUGUGAAAACCACGGGCUCAACCUGUGGCCUGCAUUUGAAACUGUUUUGCGUGAGUACUGGAGAGGCAGACGGAAUUCCUAGUGUAGCGGUGAAAUGCGUAGAUAUUAGGAGGAACACCAGUGGCGAAGGCGGUCUGCUGGACAGCAACUGACGCUGAGGCGCGAAAGCGUGGGGAGCAAACAGGAUUAGAUACCCGUGUAGUC
This 443-nucleotide ribosomal RNA is filed under the name uncultured bacterium. Its description in RNAcentral is "partial 16S ribosomal RNA". It matches the Rfam family "Bacterial small subunit ribosomal RNA", at positions 338 to 795 of the family's 1533-position model. The record is from RNAcentral.